RNAcentral lists this ribosomal RNA (354 nucleotides) under uncultured Brevundimonas sp. RNAcentral describes it as "bacterial SSU rRNA". It matches the Rfam family "Bacterial small subunit ribosomal RNA", at positions 968 to 1345 of the family's 1533-position model. Lineage: Bacteria; Pseudomonadati; Pseudomonadota; Alphaproteobacteria; Caulobacterales; Caulobacteraceae. The record is from RNAcentral.
ACCUUACCACCUUUUGACAUGCCUGGACCGCCACGGAGACGUGGCUUUCCCUUCGGGGACUAGGACACAGGUGCUGCAUGGCUGUCGUCAGCUCGUGUCGUGAGAUGUUGGGUUAAGUCCCGCAACGAGCGCAACCCUCGCCAUUAGUUGCCAUCAUUUAGUUGGGAACUCUAAUGGGACUGCCGGUGCUAAGCCGGAGGAAGGUGGGGAUGACGUCAAGUCCUCAUGGCCCUUACAGGGUGGGCUACACACGUGCUACAAUGGCUACUACAGAGGGUUAAUCCUUAAAAGUAGUCUCAGUUCGGAUUGUCCUCUGCAACUCGAGGGCAUGAAGUUGGAAUCGCUAGUAAUCGC